Molecule: ribosomal RNA, 497 nt
Filed under: uncultured bacterium
Lineage: Bacteria
Description: partial 16S ribosomal RNA
Rfam family: Bacterial small subunit ribosomal RNA
Source: RNAcentral
GAUGAACGCUGGCGGCGUGCCUAAUACAUGCAAGUCGAGCGAACAGACGAGGAGCUUACUCCUCUGACGUUAGCGGCGGACGGGUGAGUAACACGUGGAUAACCUACCUAUAAGACUGGGAUAACUUCGGGAAACCGGAGCUAAUACCGGAUAACAUGUUGAACCGCAUGGUUCAACAGUGAAAGACGGUCUUGCUGUCACUUAUAGAUGGAUCCGCGUCGCAUUAGCUAGUUGGUAAGGUAACGGCUUACCAAGGCAACGAUGCGUAGCCGACCUGAGAGGGUGAUUGGCCACACUGGAACUGAGACACGGUCCAGACUCCUACGGGAGGCAGCAGUAGGGAAUCUUCCGCAAUGGGCGAAAGCCUGACGGAGCAACGCCGCGUGAGUGAAGAAGGUCUUCGGAUCGUAAAACUCUGUUAUUAGGGAAGAACAAAUGUGUAAGUAACUAUGCACGUCUUGACGGUACCUAAUCAGAAAGCCACGGCUAACUACGUG